CAAUAGCGUAUAUUAAAGUUGUUGCAGUUAAAAAGCUCGUAGUUGGACCUUGGACCUGGACAGGCGGUCCGCCUCACGGCGUGUACUGUCUUGCUGGGUCUUUCCUCUUGGUGAUCUGUUGUUUCGGCAGCAGGGAACCAGGACUUUUACUUUGAAAAAAUUAGAGUGUUCAAAGCAGGCUCGAGGCCGGAAUAUAUUAGCAUGGAAUAAUAAAAUAGGACGUGCGGUUCUAUUUUGUUGGUUUUUGGAAUCGCCGUAAUGAUUAAUAGGGACAGUCGGGGGCAUUAGUACUCACAUGCUAGAGGUGAAAUUCUUGGAUUUUGUGAAGACUAACUUCUGCGAAAGCAUUUGCCAAGGAUGUUUUCAUUAA
RNAcentral lists this ribosomal RNA (370 nucleotides) under uncultured eukaryote. RNAcentral's name for it is "partial 18S ribosomal RNA". It matches the Rfam family "Eukaryotic small subunit ribosomal RNA", at positions 592 to 976 of the family's 1831-position model. The record is from RNAcentral.